Molecule: ribosomal RNA, 429 nt
Filed under: Pseudomonadota bacterium
Lineage: Bacteria; Pseudomonadati; Pseudomonadota
Description: Proteobacteria bacterium partial 16S ribosomal RNA
Rfam family: Bacterial small subunit ribosomal RNA
Source: RNAcentral
UGGGGAAUAUUGGACAAUGGGCGAAAGCCUGAUCCAGCCAUGCCGCGUGUGUGAAGAAGGUCUUCGGAUUGUAAAGCACUUUAAGUUGGGAGGAAGGGCAGUAAGCGAAUACCUUGCUGUUUUGACGUUACCGACAGAAUAAGCACCGGCUAACUCUGUGCCAGCAGCCGCGGUAAUACAGAGGGUGCAAGCGUUAAUCGGAAUUACUGGGCGUAAAGCGCGCGUAGGUGGUUCGUUAAGUUGAAUGUGAAAGCCCCGGGCUCAACCUGGGAACUGCAUCCAAAACUGGCGAGCUAGAGUAGGGCAGAGGGUGGUGGAAUUUCCUGUGUAGCGGUGAAAUGCGUAGAUAUAGGAAGGAACACCAGUGGCGAAGGCGACCACCUGGGCUCAUACUGACACUGAGGUGCGAAAGCGUGGGGAGCAAACAAG